UCCCUCGAGCCGGAUUUGAACCAGCGACCUAAGGAUCACCGUUGUAACAUCUACAGUCCUCCGCUCUACCAACUGAGCUAUCGAGGG
This 87-nucleotide transfer RNA is filed under the name Cordylochernes scorpioides. RNAcentral's name for it is "tRNA-Tyr". The record is from RNAcentral. Lineage: Eukaryota; Metazoa; Arthropoda; Arachnida; Pseudoscorpiones; Chernetidae.